This 717-nucleotide ribosomal RNA is filed under the name uncultured fungus. RNAcentral describes it as "eukaryotic LSU rRNA". The stretch from base 286 to 439 matches the Rfam family "5.8S ribosomal RNA". The record is from RNAcentral. Lineage: Eukaryota; Fungi.
CGGAAGGAUCAUUAUUGAAUAAACUUGGUAGUGGUUGUUGCUGGUUCUUAGGAGCAAGUGCACGCCUCUCCAUCUUUACUUCUCCACCUGUGCACCUUUUGUAGACUUUUUGAUUAAGAAUAAGAAUAACAUUUCGAGGGUAACUCGGUUUGAGGAUCUGCUGUGCGCGAGUCAGCUUUCCUUGUAGUUAAUUAUCUCUCAAUCUGAAGUCUACGUUUUUAUAUAUACCCCAAAUGUAUGUUAUAAGAAUGUAUCAAUGGGCUUUAUUGCCUAUAAAACAAAUACAACUUUCAGCAACGGAUCUCUUGGCUCUCGCAUCGAUGAAGAACGCAGCGAAAUGCGAUAAGUAAUGUGAAUAGCAGAAUUCAGUGAAUCAUCGAAUCUUUGAACGCACCUUGCGCUCCUUGGUACUCCGAGGAGCAUGCCUGUUUGAGUGUCAUUAAAUUCUCAACCCCUUCAAGGUUUUUAUUAACUUUUGAAGUUGGGCUUGGAUGUGGGGGUUGCGGGCUUUUUCAAUAAAGUCGGCUCUCCUUAAAUAUAUUAGCGGAAUCUUUUUGUGAGCCGUCUUUGGUGUGAUAAUUAUCUACGCUAUAGAUGUUUGCAUAAUACGAGUUCAGCUUCUAACAGUCCAUUGACUUGGACAAAUCUUUAUUGACCAUUUGACCUCAAAUCAGGUAGGACUACCCGCUGAACUUAAGCAUAUCAAUAAGCGGAGGA